UUUGGUUAAGUUAGAAAGGGCGCACGGUGGAUGCCUUGACACUAGGAGUCGAUGAAGGACGGGACUAACGCCGAUAUGCUUCGGGGAGCUGUAAGUAAGCUUUGAUCCGAAGAUUUCCGAAUGGGGAAACCCACCAUACGUAAUGGUAUGGUAUCCUUAUCUGAAUACAUAGGGUAAGGAAGACAGACCCAGGGAACUGAAACAUCUAAGUACCUGGAGGAAGAGAAAGCAAAUGCGAUUUCCUGAGUAGCGGCGAGCGAAACGGAACAUAGCCCAAACCAAGAGGCUUGCCUCUUGGGGUUGUAGGACAUUCUAUACGGAGUUACAAAGGAACGAGGUAGACGAAGCGACCUGGAAAGGUCCGUCGUAGAGGGUAACAACCCCGUAGUCGAAACUUCGUUCUCUCUUGAAUGUAUCCUGAGUACGGCGGAACACGUGAAAUUCCGUCGGAAUCUGGGAGGACCAUCUCCCAAGGCUAAAUACUCCCUAGUGAUCGAUAGUGAACCAGUACCGUGAGGGAAAGGUGAAAAGCACCCCGGAAGGGGAGUGAAAGAGAUCCUGAAACCGUGUGCCUACAAAUAGUCAGAGCCCGUUAACGGGUGAUGGCGUGCCUUUUGUAGAAUGAACCGGCGAGUUACGAUCCCGUGCGAGGUUAAGCUGAAGAGGCGGAGCCGCAGCGAAAGCGAGUCUGAAUAGGGCGUUUAGUACGUGGUCGUAGACCCGAAACCAGGUGAUCUACCCAUGUCCAGGGUGAAGUUCAGGUAACACUGAAUGGAGGCCCGAACCCACGCACGUUGAAAAGUGCGGGGAUGAGGUGUGGGUAGCGGAGAAAUUCCAAUCGAACCUGGAGAUAGCUGGUUCUCCCCGAAAUAGCUUUAGGGCUAGCCUUAAGUGUAAGAGUCUUGGAGGUAGAGCACUGAUUGGACUAGGGGUCCUCAUCGGAUUACCGAAUUCAGUCAAACUCCGAAUGCCAAUGACUUAUCCUUAGGAGUCAGACUGCGAGUGAUAAGAUCCGUAGUCAAAAGGGAAACAGCCCAGACCGCCAGCUAAGGUCCCAAAGUGUGUAUUAAGUGGAAAAGGAUGUGGAGUUGCUUAGACAACUAGGAUGUUGGCUUAGAAGCAGCCACCAUUUAAAGAGUGCGUAAUAGCUCACUAGUCGAGUGACUCUGCGCCGAAAAUGUACCGGGGCUAAAUACACCACCGAAGCUGCGGAUUGAUACCGNNNNNNNNNNNNNNNNNNNNNNNNNNNNNNNNNNNNNNNNNNNNNNNNNNNNNNNNNNNNNNNNNNNNNNNNNNNNNNNNNNNNNNNNNNNNNNNNAUAAAGGCUGAGCUGUGAUGGGGAAGCUCCUUAUGGAGCGAAGUCUUUGAUUCCCCGCUGCCAAGAAAAGCUUCUAGCGAGAUAAAAGGUGCCUGUACCGCAAACCGACACAGGUAGGCGAGGAGAGAAUCCUAAGGUGUGCGAGAGAACUCUGGUUAAGGAACUCGGCAAAAUGACCCCGUAACUUCGGGAGAAGGGGUGCUUUCUUAACGGAAAGCCGCAGUGAAUAGGCCCAAGCGACUGUUUAGCAAAAACACAGCUCUCUGCGAAGCCGUAAGGCGAAGUAUAGGGGGUGACACCUGCCCGGUGCUGGAAGGUUAAGGAGAGGGGUUAGCGUAAGCGAAGCUCUGAACUGAAGCCCCAGUAAACGGCGGCCGUAACUAUAACGGUCCUAAGGUAGCGAAAUUCCUUGUCGGGUAAGUUCCGACCCGCACGAAAGGUGUAACGAUUUGGGCACUGUCUCAACCAGAGACUCGGUGAAAUUAUAGUACCUGUGAAGAUGCAGGUUACCCGCGACAGGACGGAAAGACCCCGUGGAGCUUUACUGUAGCCUGAUAUUGAAUUUUGGUACAGUUUGUACAGGAUAGGCGGGAGCCAUUGAAACCGGAGCGCUAGCUUCGGUGGAGGCGCUGGUGGGAUACCGCCCUGACUGUAUUGAAAUUCUAACCUACGGGUCUUAUCGACCCGGGAGACAGUGUCAGGUGGGCAGUUUGACUGGGGCGGUCGCCUCCUAAAGUGUAACGGAGGCGCCCAAAGGUUCCCUCAGAAUGGUUGGAAAUCAUUCGUAGAGUGCAAAGGCAUAAGGGAGCUUGACUGCGAGACCUACAAGUCGAGCAGGGACGAAAGUCGGGCUUAGUGAUCCGGUGGUUCCGCAUGGAAGGGCCAUCGCUCAACGGAUAAAAGCUACCCCGGGGAUAACAGGCUUAUCUCCCCCAAGAGUCCACAUCGACGGGGAGGUUUGGCACCUCGAUGUCGGCUCAUCGCAUCCUGGGGCUGUAGUCGGUCCCAAGGGUUGGGCUGUUCGCCCAUUAAAGCGGUACGCGAGCUGGGUUCAGAACGUCGUGAGACAGUUCGGUCCCUAUCCGUCGUGGGCGUAGGAAAUUUGAGAGGAGCUGUCCUUAGUACGAGAGGACCGGGAUGGACGCACCGCUGGUGUACCAGUUGUUCUGCCAAGGGCAUAGCUGGGUAGCUAUGUGCGGAAGGGAUAAGUGCUGAAAGCAUCUAAGCAUGAAGCCCCCCUCAAGAUGAGAUUUCCCAUAGCGUAAGCUAGUAAGAUCCCUGAAAGAU
Molecule: ribosomal RNA, 2605 nt
Filed under: Bacillus cereus
Lineage: Bacteria; Bacillati; Bacillota; Bacilli; Caryophanales; Bacillaceae
Description: partial 23S ribosomal RNA
Rfam family: Bacterial large subunit ribosomal RNA
Source: RNAcentral